UACGAAGGGUGCAAGCGUUACUCGGAAUUACUGGGCGUAAAGGGUGCGUAGGUGGUUUUUUAAGUCCGUUGUGAAAUCCCUGGGCUCAACCUGGGAAUGGCAGUGGAUACUGGAAAGCUAGAGUGCGGUAGAGGGUAGUGGAAUUCCCGGUGUAGCGGUGAAAUGCGUAGAGAUCGGGAGGAACACCAGUGGCGAAGGCGGCUACCUGGACCAGCACUGACACUGAGGCACGAAAGCGUGGGGAGCAAACAGG
RNAcentral lists this ribosomal RNA (253 nucleotides) under uncultured bacterium. Its description in RNAcentral is "partial 16S ribosomal RNA". It matches the Rfam family "Bacterial small subunit ribosomal RNA", at positions 524 to 776 of the family's 1533-position model. The record is from RNAcentral.